RNAcentral lists this ribosomal RNA (443 nucleotides) under uncultured bacterium. Its description in RNAcentral is "partial 16S ribosomal RNA". It matches the Rfam family "Bacterial small subunit ribosomal RNA", at positions 338 to 795 of the family's 1533-position model. The record is from RNAcentral.
CCUACGGGGCGCAGCAGUGGGGAAUAUUGGACAAUGGGGGGAACCCUGAUCCAGCGACGCCGCGUGAGUGAAGAAGUAUUUCGGUAUGUAAAGCUCUAUCAGCAGGGAAGAAAGGAAUGACGGUACCUGACUAAGAAGCCCCGGCUAACUACGUGCCAGCAGCCGCGGUAAUACGUAGGGGGCAAGCGUUAUCCGGAUUUACUGGGUGUAAAGGGAGCGUAGACGGUUACGCAAGUCUGGAGUGAAAGGCGGGGGCUCAACCCCCGGACUGCUUUGGAAACUGUAUAACUGGAGUGCAGGAGAGGUAAGUGGAAUGCCUGGUGUAGCGGUGAAAUGCGUAGAUAUUAGGAGGAACACCAGUGGCGAAGGCGGCUUACUGGACUGUAACUGACGUUGAGGCUCGAAAGCGUGGGGAGCAAACAGGAGUAGAUACCCGUGUAGUC